This 307-nucleotide ribosomal RNA is filed under the name uncultured bacterium. Its description in RNAcentral is "bacterial SSU rRNA". It matches the Rfam family "Bacterial small subunit ribosomal RNA", at positions 28 to 334 of the family's 1533-position model. The record is from RNAcentral.
GAUGAACGCUAGCGGCAGGCCUAACACAUGCAAGUCGAGGGGCAGCAUUACCUUCGGGUAGAUGGCGACCGGCGCACGGGUGCGUAACGCGUAUGCAACCUACCUAUCACAUAGGGAUAGCCUCUAGAAAUGGAGAUUAAUACCUAAUGGCAUCUAAGUAUUGCAUGAUACUAAGAUUAAAGAUUUAUCGGUGAUAGAUGGGCAUGCGUGACAUUAGCUAGUUGGUAAGGUAACGGCUUACCAAGGCAACGAUCCCUAGCUGGUCUGAGAGGAUGAUCAGCCACACUGGAACUGAGACACGGUCCAG